Molecule: non-coding RNA, 333 nt
Filed under: Dipodomys ordii (Ord's kangaroo rat)
Lineage: Eukaryota; Metazoa; Chordata; Mammalia; Rodentia; Heteromyidae
Description: Eukaryotic small subunit ribosomal RNA
Rfam family: Eukaryotic small subunit ribosomal RNA
Source: Rfam by way of RNAcentral
CACAGACAGGACUGACAGAAUGAUAGCUCUUCCUCCAUUCCAUGGGUGGUGGUACAUGGCCAUUCUCAGUUGGUGGAGUGAUUUGUCUGGUUAAUUGAUAAUGAAGGAGACGCUGGCAGGCUAACUAGUUACAAAAAAAGAAUUAGAUUAGCAAUGAGCCAGGGCUCAAUGUCAUAAUCUGAAAACUGAGUUGGAGAAAGACAUGAGGAUUUUUAGGACUAAGAAUGCUACUGAGCCACCAGUGUUUGUGGAAUGAAUUAAGCUGGGUCAGAGGGCUUGACAUAUUGUUUCUGUUUUCCACUUGAUGCACCAAGCAUUUUUUUUGGGGGGGGG